RNAcentral lists this ribosomal RNA (459 nucleotides) under uncultured bacterium. RNAcentral's name for it is "partial 16S ribosomal RNA". It matches the Rfam family "Bacterial small subunit ribosomal RNA", at positions 338 to 795 of the family's 1533-position model. The record is from RNAcentral.
CCUACGGGAGGCAGCAGUGAGGAAUAUUGGUCAAUGGGCGGGAGCCUGAACCAGCCAAGCCGCGUGAGGGAAGAAGGUACAGCGUAUUGUAAACCUCUUUUGUCAGGGAACAAAGGCGGGGACUAGUCCCCGGAUGAGGGUACCUGAAGAAAAAGCAUCGGCUAACUCCGUGCCAGCAGCCGCGGUAAUACGGAGGAUGCGAGCGUUAUCCGGAUUUAUUGGGUUUAAGGGGUGCGCAGGCGGCCUGUUAAGUCAGCGGUAAAAGCCUGGGGCUCAACCCCGGCGAGCCGUUGAAACUGGCGGGCUGGAGUUGGAGAGAAGUGCGCGGAAUGCGCGGUGUAGCGGUGAAAUGCUUAGAUAUCGCGCAGAACCCCGAUUGCGAAGGCAGCGUACCGGCUCCACACUGACGCUGAGGCACGAAAGCGUGGGUAUCGAACAGGAUUAGAUACCCUUGUAGUC